GUGAAGAUUUGGGCAGGCCAUACGGACGCCAAAAAGUGUCCCUGGCCGCCUACACCCACUAUACAUCCACAAACCCGUGUGCACUGUCUUGGAGAAAGGCUUCAGAGAAGUUUUUUGUGGCCUCUCUUGGGGUCUUUCUUCGCUACAAACUCGAAUGGUUAGUAUGAACGUGGAACUUGGUUGGACCGUCACUGGCCAACAAACUAUACA
RNAcentral lists this unclassified non-coding RNA (210 nucleotides) under uncultured Basidiomycota. Its description in RNAcentral is "sequence contains ITS1". RNAcentral also lists the same sequence under 2 other names. The record is from RNAcentral. Lineage: Eukaryota; Fungi; Basidiomycota.